AGAGUCGUCUGGAUCAUCGCGUUACGAAAGUACCGAGGAAAGUCCGGACUCCAAAGAGUAAGGUGAUGGCUAACGGCCAUCCAGGGAAACCUGCGGGAUUAGUGCCACAGAAAAUAAACCGCCGUUAGCAAUAACGGUAAGGAUGAAACGGUGGUGUAAGAGACCACCAGCAUUUACGGCAACGUAUAUGGCUAGGUAAACCCCACCUGGAGCAAGACCAGAUUGUUGGCAUUUGAGAGCUACUCGCUCGAGCCAACGGGUAGGUUGCUUGAAUCUGUAAGCAAUUACAGAUCUAGAUGGAUGAUGAUCUCUCGCAAGAGAACAGGAUCCGGCUUAUAGGGCGACUCUUCUU
RNAcentral lists this RNase P RNA (352 nucleotides) under Candidatus Nanopelagicus abundans. Its description in RNAcentral is "Bacterial RNase P class A". It matches the Rfam family "Bacterial RNase P class A". Rfam says of the family: Ribonuclease P (RNase P) is a ubiquitous endoribonuclease, found in archaea, bacteria and eukarya as well as chloroplasts and mitochondria. Its best characterised activity is the generation of mature 5'-ends of tRNAs by cleaving the 5'-leader elements of precursor-tRNAs. Cellular RNase Ps are ribonucleoproteins. The record is from Rfam by way of RNAcentral. Lineage: Bacteria; Bacillati; Actinomycetota; Actinomycetes; Candidatus Nanopelagicales; Candidatus Nanopelagicaceae.